This 301-nucleotide ribosomal RNA is filed under the name uncultured bacterium. Its description in RNAcentral is "partial 16S ribosomal RNA". It matches the Rfam family "Bacterial small subunit ribosomal RNA", at positions 509 to 808 of the family's 1533-position model. The record is from RNAcentral.
CAGUAGCCACGGUAAUACGUAGGGGGGCAAGCGUUACCCGGAAUUACUGGGUGUAAAGGGAGCGUAGACAGUUAAACAAGUCUGAAGUGAAAUGCCGGGGCUCAACCCCGGAGCUGCUUUGGGAACUGUAGAACUGGAGUGUCGGAGGGGUAAGCGGAAUUCCCAGUGUAGCGGUGAAAUGCGUAGAUAUUGGGAGGAACACCGGCGGCGAAGGCGGCUUACUGGACGACAACUGACGUUGAGGCUCGAAGGCGUGGGUAGCAAACAGGAUUAGAUACCCCUGUAGUCCCUGUCUCUUAUA